Armigeres subalbatus is the source of this 1906-nucleotide RNA transcript. It is a transcript of the gene named large ribosomal subunit protein uL18-like, with no coding region annotated. NCBI's taxonomy places the organism in Eukaryota, Metazoa, Arthropoda, Insecta, Diptera, Culicidae. The transcript is spliced from 4 exons. The record is from RefSeq and is a predicted model, not a curated record.
CCGAACUUUAGGGUAACAUGUUACCUCAUGAGCCUAAGAAAAUGAUUCACGUUAGGGUAAACCUCGACUAAAAUUACGCUAUAUUGCAACAUCGUGUUAGGCGUUUGCUGAUUUCAAACGUCUGCGUUAGGGUAACAUUAGUGUAACCUUACCCUAACGUGAGUCAUUUCAGUGAGUCGACCAAAAUAGUGCAUGUAGUAGUGAGUUGUAUACAGCACAUAAUUUGUGUUCACUAAUCCAACGGCAAGUCUCCUCAAUGACAGUUCGCGGUAAACAAUCCAAAAAAUAAGCUCGAUCAGCUCUAUCCACAAAUCGCAAAAAGUGAACUGUUACAACACCAUAGAUAAUAAAAAUUAAAUUAAAAGGAUUGAACAGACAUACUACUCACAAGGGUCAAAAACUUCGACGGCUUCGGAAUUCGUCGUUUGUUCAUCAGAUAGAAAUUGCACCUCAUCUCAUCGAUCGACGGAUACUAUCACGGUUCAACUGAAACCUGAUUCGGAAACCAAAAGCAACAGUUAUUCCGAUGCGCAAAUAUCAAACUUCUACUAGCAAACGGAUCACACUUGCCGGAAGAGUUCUCGCCACGACUGCAACUCGCUAAAAUGAGCUCUCUACGUCCUUUGGAUUUACAUCGGUGUCUAACUUCUACAUCUCCCCUGAGGAAGAAUCCCGUCGAGAGGAGGUUUAUCUGGAGCCGACCGACUUCCUUUAUGUGAGCGAAUUUUCCUAGUCCUUGUUCCGUCUAAAAGAGAAUGACUAGUUGAAUGCGGUACGGGACCACCCGACACGACGUACGAUUUUUCCAGCGAUGAUGCUGCCCGGGAAACCAAUUUUACGUUGCACCCCGUUUGUUUUUAACUGGAGCGAAUCGCAGAAGGCAAGAUGUAAAUUCGGGCAUCACUUCGAAAGGUCAACCUUCAGAAGUAAUCGAUCAGAAAGAUGUAUUUAUUAUCUAUGUUUUGAACAAUUGCUGGCCUGGCGAUAAAAGCGGAUGUUGUCAUUGGUCAUUGUCAUACAGGAAGUAUUUCACAUAUACUUCAGAGUUAUGUAUAACGGAAGGGAGCAUCCGGAGAUCCUUCUGCAUUAGUGAGAAAGUCAUCUUGGCGGCUUUGAAGCGCCAUCGAAUGCUGAAGCUUUUCGUACCGCUUUACUCAAUAUCAUUCCGGCGGUGGUAACCUGGAAGAAAGUGAUGAAAUGCAUCAGCUGAAAACGUCGGAUUGCUGGUUACCCGUCGCAUUCUGCAAAAGCUUCGUGUGGAUACUCUGUACACUGGAUUUUUACUGGGGAAGAAUAUUUGGUCGAACUAGUCUAUGACGGACCAGGAGCGUUCCGGUGCUACUUAGAUGUUACCCUCGCCCGCACCACCACUGGAGUCCGCGUCUUUGGUGCCAUGAAGGAUGCCGACGAUGGUGGCAUCAACAUCCCGCACUCCGCCAAGCGUUUCCCAGGAUACAUCGCUGAAGUUCACCACGCUCAUAACUUCGGCCAACACGUCGCCGACUAUAUGCGCACCCUGGAGGAAGAGGGUGAGGAGACGUACAAGCGCCAAUUCAGCAAAUCAUUGGCCUCGGAAUCAAGGUUGACGAUCGGCUUUGAAGCGCCACCAAAUGCUGAAGCUUUUCGUACCGCUUCAUUCCGGCUAAGGUAAUCCGGCAGGAUAUAAGUUACCGAUGAUUCUUUGUGGAAUUGGUCGGUGGAUGAGUAACUUGGAGGAAAGUGAUGACAUGCAUCCAUAGCGUUUACAAAUUAACCAAUGUCAACUUGGGCAAUAUGCGGAAACUUCUGGAAUGAUGAUCCAGCGUCCGAUGAUGAGAAAACAAGGAAAAUUGUAUCGACGACACAGACUUAUGGAGAUACAAAAGUAGAUGAUGUUGUGAACCAAAAAAAGAUUAUAUAUGAAUAU